CAAUUUGUGGACUGAUUUGCGUUACGGGCAGAAGCUCAGUAACAGGAGAUUGCAACCACAGUAAAAAAGUGCUAAAACUAUUUCA
Regulatory RNA element from Sphingobacterium spiritivorum ATCC 33861, 85 nucleotides. The record is from Rfam. NCBI's taxonomy places the organism in Bacteria, Pseudomonadati, Bacteroidota, Sphingobacteriia, Sphingobacteriales, Sphingobacteriaceae.